Magnolia sinica is the source of this 1183-nucleotide long non-coding RNA. RefSeq lists it as uncharacterized. NCBI's taxonomy places the organism in Eukaryota, Viridiplantae, Streptophyta, Magnoliopsida, Magnoliales, Magnoliaceae. The record is from RefSeq and is a predicted model, not a curated record. The transcript has 2 exons.
GUGAGGUUUUAGCCAUCGUACAAGUGCAAACAAAGACAAUAAGUAGGCUUCGUAAAGGAGAGUGAGAUCAAGUAGAAAUGGAUAAUGGGCCGGGUUUUUAGGCCUUGUCUUUAGGCUAAAUGUGCUUGCAUGAAUAUAUGUCCAUUUUGCAAAGUUUUUGGGCUAGAUUUUACAAAGCCCGGAAUCGUGGAACCAAACCGGUUUUCACGGUCCGGUUCCGGUUCGGUUCUAGGGUGCUAACGGUCCGGUUCUGGUUCCGAAAAUCCUAGAACCGUUAGGAACGGUUCGGUUCUAGUUUCACCCCAAAACUGGACCGAACUGACCCGUGUGCACCCCUACAAUGAAAUUGCCUAGUAAGUAUGAAUGUCUUAUAGACUCUUACAAAAAGUUUUUUAUAAUCUAAUUUACAAAGUCUAACCUAAUUAAACUAUUUUUCUUAGCUAACCAGUGGUCUACGUAUGGAGUAGACUCGGACAGGAAUGAUCCAGCUCUAAAGAAGCUGACCAUGAGGAUUCUUGGACUCACGUGUUCCGGUAGCGGCUGCGAGCGCAACUGGAGCACAUAUAAGGCGAUUCACGCCAAGAAAAAGAAUCGUCUUGAACAAAAGAAAGUCAAUGACUGGGUCUUCGUCCAAUAUAAUCAGAAACUGCGAGAACGAUUACAAGCUAGGUGAGAAAAGCCUAGUUUAUAUGACCCUAUUUGCUUAGAUGAGCUGAAUGCAUAUAAUGAGUGACUCGUAGAGACGAAAGACCCGGUCUUUGUUAGUGAAGAGCUUACAUGGGCCCAAGUUAAAGAUGUCGCAUUCGGCUCAACACCUGAAAAAAGGUACUUCCGCUUGAAGGCGGAGGAGAGGGGGACAAGCAGUAGCACUCAGCUGAUGGAAGAGAUUGAGGAGAUAGAAGAAGGAGAUGUUCAAGUUGGAGAUCAACUAUUGGAUAUUGAUGAACUACUAGUGCGUAUAGAAGAUGAAGAAAUAGAAGGAAAUGAUACGUAGGAGUGAUGACUUUGAUGAUGACGAUGGUGGUGGUCAAAUGCCAUAAUGGCAAGUGCAUCAAUGUAUAGAGUAUUAAACAUUUAGACUAUUAGUUUUAUUUUGUAAGUAAUGUAUAGAUAAGAAAUAUUAAGAUGUAACUUGAAAAUUGUAUUUGUACAAUAAAUAACUUAUUGAUUGUUUUGUUAACUA